GGACGGACACACAUUUUUUCAAGUAUGGUUAUAUUGACUCCUGGGACCUUAAAACGUCUAGAAAUGAUGAAAUUUCAACUUUUUUUUUUUUCUUCUUGGAGAAUGACAGUACUUCCUCUCUACCCUACACUGGAAAAAAAAGUAACUUGGAUCAAGCAUGAUAAUUCUUGAAUUUGCCGCCAAGAAUUUUUUUUAUCUAGCCUUAAGCUGACUUUUUCUUGAUUCAAGAAAAAUAAUGCUUGGGUUAAGCACAAAAGUAGCUUAUAUUAACCAGAAAAAUUCUUGAUUUAAGAAGGAAUACUUUUUGGCGGCAAAUUUAAGAUUCUUUUUUUUUUCAGUGUAGGGGAGCGAGAAAGUAAAAAGUGAGAUGGUAAAGGUACCAACGGACCUUGGUAAAAAUGCCGAGAAUUCUUUUUCAGUGCACGACAACGGAAGGAGCGACUUUACCUGGGUGCUUUCACGCGCUGCGGUGACAUCCCGUUUAGGGCUCCACAGGUGUCCGGGAGGCGCACGCGGCGGCGGCGAUGGGCGCGUGCGUGGCGACCGCGGCGCGGGCGUCCGGCGGGCGCCCCUCCCGGACCGGAGGGGGGGGGGGCGCCUGGAUGCAUCGCGGAUCCGCGGGGCGAGUCAAGUGUGUCGCGCCACACCGGUCGGCUCUAACGCUCCGCUCCUCCGCGAACAGUCCCCGGUUCCGAGGUCGCCUUUUGGAUUACCGUCAUCGGGAUUUUGUGCUUCUCCGCGCUUUCGCUACGCUCCGAUCGGUCCGUGCUCAAAUUAUGGUUCUCAGCGAGUUUACCGCGACCGCCCCGUAAAGGCCUCUCUCGGUAGCCGAGACGUCGAAAGUUAUGUUUUAUUAAACUGCUUUCCGCCGUCAAAGCGGGCCACCGCGCUCGCCCUGGUCGCCGAUGCGCGAGCGAGAGUGGCGCGAAUCAAACUCCAAGAACUUCCCCGGAUGCGGAAGGGAUCAUCUCAGACACAAAACAACACAUCUGCCGUGAUAGCGAAGAGAGCAGUAAGUGUCGAUUUUUCGAAAUCGAGUUUCCUUCAAAAUUCACUGAAAAACAAAUAUGGUAGAUUUUACCAUACUCAGACACAGUGAUACAUGUACGGUAAUAAACACCAGACUCUAUGGUAGCAUUUACCAUAUUGUGUUAAGUAUCACUAGAGCUCUGGUGAAUAUUACCGUAAUUCUGGUCAUUUUCGCUAAAUAGUAUCACCGUGUAAAAAAGCAAGUAAACUUAUAGUAGAUGUUAUCAUACUUUUUUUCAGUGUUCGUCCAUCUCUUUUAGAUGAAAUCACUGAAAUAGCUAAAACAGUAAAAUUCAUCUUAAUGGAGGAUUUGCAUGAACAUUUUUUGCUUCAUCUGAAAGUGCUCAAAGAGCUGAUUUCACAGUUUUUUUUUAAAAAAAAAAAAUUUCUGAUAUGGGAAACAGUAAGACAAUAGAUUUAAAAGUGAGAAAAUGCACCGCCUAGUGCCGUCAUCUGGCGGCAUUUCACAUUUAUCACACGUAUUUUAGCAGAUUAGAUCAUUUCGUCAGAUCUUCUCCAAUUAAUAAUUGUUUAAUUCAUGGACCAAGGGUAUCCUCGUGUUCAGUUCACUUGGUAGAUUCCACAUUAACACGGAAUUCAUAACAUUUGAGACACCUGCAAAUUCUCUAUUGCAUUAGGACGAGACACGUGAGAAAUCCGUAAGAACGCAAAAAAUGAUGUAGUUCCACGUAAGACAGCAGUAAGCGGCAAUAUUCCUCCAGAAAAACGAUAAAACAGUUCUUUCAAGUGAAGUGCCACCCUCUUCUGCUAAUUUCUAACCUGAAAAUGUGUUUUUUGUGUGUCUGGAGAGCAACCACGAACGCAUGCAGAAGAUGGCGCUCACGGCUGUCUUGCGUAACAUUAGCCUGGGAUGAAAAUGAAAAAUACCCUUUUUAUUUAAUUGAAAUAAAAUCAGUCGAUUUUGAAUCAUCCGUACGAUUUCUAGAAGUCUUUCGGACGAUUAUUGGCAAUUUGUCAAAGAACGGAUGCAUUUUUUAAUUAAAUUUUCCGGUCAGAAGCUUCUGAGACAGUUUUCUCAAAACUUCAUGUUUGCACUUACUGCGCUCUUCGCUAUCACGGUAGAACACAUCUUGUGUUCCAGCGUUUCUCGUGCAAAUGACGCAGUGAUAUCUUCCGAGCUUACACAAGGUGCAACACUAAUAUCUUAACUUGUGAAACGUGAAAAGCGCCGAUUAUUAUUUGAUAUAUCUCAAUCGAACGGACUAAAAUGUGUGAAGUUACGUGUCAACUCGGCCAUUUGUGUGACGUUUUCUCAUAUUCGUCACACAUCAUGUGGACAAUAACCUGGAGACCGAACCGUGCCCGUGUUUUUGAGCGAACAGAUUGUUUGGACUGGUUUUUUUGUGCGUAACUGAAUCUCUUUCGUUACCAUCUAACUUACAGCGCUAUAUUCAACCUUCCGUCCGCAACGUUUCUCUUUGUUUCAAUCAGUGCUCAUGAUUGUUCGCCCAUCUCAACUCGAUCGGUUUCAAUCGAUAUCGUACCUUCCACUUUAUUCACGCGUUUAGUGGCCAACAAAAUGAAUCCAAUUCCGUCCAGGAACGUAGUCUAAAACCCCAUCAUAUUUGUUUGUCCGUCCAUCUGAAGCCGAUUGUGCUACUUGCGGUUUCUCAAUCGUUGAGAGUUCGGUUUGAUUGUGACGUCAAAAUUCACCACGCAACACCCUGCAUGUGUUAAGAACCAGUUCUCUUCUCGCGUCUUCUACCAGGAUUCUCAGCGUUUUACUGAAAACUGUGGAGUCUCUAUCGGAUUUUCAUCGGAUUUCUUGAUGAAAUGUCGCUGAAAUUGGAGUUUCGUCCGUGAACAUCUACCACGUUAUCGCCAAAGUUAAAUUUCAAACCCCAUGGUGUAAUCUCAGCUGUGUCUCGGUGUCCCCAAUGCUGGAGACGAUUUAACGAAACGGUUAAUUGAAAUAGCGAAACUUUCUUUCUCAUCUCAACACUAAACAGUUUCAUAUCGAGCGAGCUCAUCGGUUAAGGUCCUCGACCGCUUCAAUAAAUUUGUCAAUGGCCGUCUUACAUAUCAUUAACGUUAGGUGCGUUUGAUCUAAUCAUUAACGUUAGGUGCGUUCGACCUAAUCAUGAACGUUAGAUGCGUUUGACCUAAUCAUUAACGUAAGGUGCGUUUGGCCUAAUCAUUAACGUUAGGUGCGUUUGACCUAAUCAUUAACGUAAGGUGCGUUUGACCUAAUCAUGAACGUCAGGUGCGUUUGACCUAAUCAUUAACGUUAGGUGCGUUUGACCUAAUCAUUAACGUAAGGUGCGUUUGACCUAAUCAUAAACGUUAGGUGCGUUUGACCUAAUCAUUAACGUAAGGUGCGUUUGACCUAAUCAUGAACGUUAGGUGCGUUUGACCUAAUCAUUAACGCAAGGUGCGUUUGACCUAAUCAUGAACGUCAGGUGCGUUUGACCUAAUUAUCACCGUUAGGUGCAUUUGACCUAAUCAUGAACGUUAGGUGCGUUUGACCUAUGCUGGUUCAAAGUGGUGCUGUCAUCUAUCUCCGACUCUUUCUUGUGCGGUCGAAUCUGUGACUUUCCGUUCGAGGACACGAUGCAGCUAUAAGCGGUCUGAAAAUGAGUGACAUGUCGGGAUCGGAGUAGUAAAAGCUCCCCUUGUGUGGUUCGGUGUUCGGCGGGCAGUAUGUUGAAGUCGGUGCUGUGCAAGUCGGGCUCCUCGCUGGACAUCAGCAGCCUGGAGGGGGAGCAGGAGAGGCAGUUGCCGCGAGAGGGCAAGCUCCGGCGGGUCUUCACUACGCAUGCGCGGCGCCGCUCGUCCCGCGGGAGCAAGAAGGAGGCUCCGCCCGGGAGCGGUUUCAACCUCAGCCGAAUGAUGAAGGAGCCUCUCAGAGUCGUCCAUUCCGUCCCGCUCAGCUACUCCAACGGGUGAGUUCUCUCCUCAGUUUUCAUCAGAGUACCUUUAUAGACAGAGUAUGGCCAUUCGUAUCUUUUUACAACACACUGAAAAAAAAAAUCUCGGUGUAUUUACUAAGAAAAGGGUAAAAUUGCCUAGAAUUCAGGGUUCUAUUUGAUCCCAGUUUUUUCUUGGUAAAAUUACCACUUAUGGAAUUGGUAAUUUUACCGAAAAAUCUCGGUAAAAUUAUUGAACUUUCUCGGUAAUUUUACUGGAUCUUGGUAAAAACACCAAUAUUUGUUAUCGACUGUGGUAGAAUUACCGAGAUAAAAUGGCAAAGUUACCGGGAAUUGAUUACCAAUAAAAGUAGUGGUAUUCUUACCUGAAAAAAAACAGUAAAAAUGCCGGUUUUUAGGUAAGCUUACCAGUCUGUCUUGGUAAAAUUACCAAUAAUUGGUAAAAAAAGUGAGAUGGUAAAGAUACCUACGGACCUUGGUAAAAACGCCGAGAAUUUUUUUUCAGUGCAGGAAAACUGUGCCGCUUUUUGAUUGGUCAAAGAGUUUUUAGGCUUCAUGAUGCUCUUACGGCCGUAAAUAAACAAACAAGAUGGCGGCUCAUCGUAACAUCGAUAAGAAGCUAAAAUUUGACAGAAA
RNAcentral lists this long non-coding RNA (4553 nucleotides) under Bemisia tabaci. RNAcentral's name for it is "lncRNA ENSSSA1UGG008491". Lineage: Eukaryota; Metazoa; Arthropoda; Insecta; Hemiptera; Aleyrodidae. The record is from RNAcentral.